UUGACCGCGUCAACUCACAUAGGACAGGGAAGAUGAAACUGUAAAGUAAGAAGUUACGGCAGGGGCCUUUAGGGGAGAAGGGGAGAGGCAGCUGCAUCGAGGAGGCGAUAAGAUUCCAAGACACCAAUCUGCAAAGAAUAGGCCCACUGUAUUUUGAAAACCGAGUUUCAGAUUAUCGAAAUAGGGCGAAAUAAGGCAAAUCCUUUGAAGUAUUGGCUACCGGAAGCAAGGAGUAGACUCAGGUUUUGUGACCAGUUUCAGGCUGUGUAUCUAUUAAAUUUAUAGGGCUGCUCCAACUGCGCUGUCGAAGAGACAUGCUGAUGGUUCAUUGCCAAUUGAAGAUUUCAGUACUUGGAAAUCAGAGUGGGAAGAAAGUACAAAUGGGAUCAGAGACUGAUCAGCGGGCAAUCAUGAUGAGCCUGAUGUUACAUACCAAUGCAAAGCAACUGAUUAAAGCACAAAAUUACUAAGAUGCAAUGGAAGUGCUCAGCAUGGAGGAGGAGGCUUUCUCUCUCUGCGAUCCAUCGGUUAUUAAGCUGGUCGAUAAUCCUUCUAUACUGCAAAUCGAUAUGGUUUGGUGUUAUUUCAUGCUUAGAGACAUAAACUAGCUCUCAGUGGCAGGAAUUCGCCUUGAGAAAGCCAGAGAGGGUCUUGAACGAGCUCAUGGAAAGGACUCUUCUCGUGUUAGACUCCUUCAGGCAGAUAUUUGAUACUGGAGCUGCUGGAAGGGGUGGCGGCGUAUCACAGUGGUCAGUUUGAUAAGUCAAUGACGGUGUUGACUUCUGCACAAGAGAAGUUCACCCAGGUGCUGGAUGAAUUUUUGGUUGUGGAUUCCAGCUUCAGGUGCUGGAUGAAUCUCUCUUUCUUGUGAUGAUCAUGGGCUUCAGAGAACGAGAUACAAAAAGGGCACUGGGGAUGAGCAAUCAAGAUGUUUCCAUCAGCCCUGUAUAGUCGUUAGUCAUCCCAAGAGUUUCUUGACUUUGCAGGUUUGAAAAGGAGCUUGCUGCUGAAGCACUAUGAGGCAAUGACAGUGGAGAAGGCAUUGGAUUUGACCAUUUCUUCCAUACAGGUGACUUGAACAUUUUUGUUUGAACACUAUUUGAAUUUUAUUUAGAGAAUGAACACUAUUAAAUUUAUUUACUUGCAGCAGCAUCUUGAAUCAAGGAAAAGUAAACUACAGUGCCAAGCAGUAGAUGCUUCAGUUGAAGCUUUUGUACGCAUGGCCUUUGACAGAUCAUUAGUCUUAGCUUUGCAGGGUGGAGGGACAAUGGACCAAGCAAUCUGUCAACUGCUCUCGGGACAGGCACCAAACCCCACAGAUGCUGCGAACCAAUCUGAGGCAAUUCCUGCAGUCAAUGCUAACAACAAUGGUCAAUCUGAUGUUGCAAUUGACAUUGCAAAUUCUCUUGCGUCAGUGCUUGAUAAUCAAAAUGGUCAAGUUGGAGGUUUUUCAACGUCUAGUAAUGCAUCAGAGCGUGAUUCAGAAGGGGAAAGCCAACUUGCUGAAGAACUAGCACAAGGAGAUGCUUUCACUGACUAUGAUAUUGAAGUUAAUAGACAAGGUGAAGUCAUAAGUGAGUACUUGGCUUAGCGGGAACAAAGUGAAUAUCACUCUGCCAAUAAGAAUUGCGACUUUAACAACCAUGCAUGUACAUGUAUAAUAACUAUAGGUCAAGGAUCUAGUUAUGGUGAUGGUGUUCCAGAUGAUCAAUGUCUUUGAUCCGGCAUUUUCCCGACUGUUCCAAGACUAAUAUUGGUGCCAUGUAGUUUAUCUAACCCGCCUUUCACCAUUUCUGGAAUUAUAAAAAAGCAUAUUUGCUGCUUUUAAGUAAA
Long non-coding RNA from Rosa chinensis, 1833 nucleotides. RefSeq lists it as uncharacterized. The record is from RefSeq and is a predicted model, not a curated record. The transcript has 8 exons. NCBI's taxonomy places the organism in Eukaryota, Viridiplantae, Streptophyta, Magnoliopsida, Rosales, Rosaceae.